RNAcentral lists this ribosomal RNA (372 nucleotides) under uncultured bacterium. Its description in RNAcentral is "bacterial SSU rRNA". It matches the Rfam family "Bacterial small subunit ribosomal RNA", at positions 29 to 387 of the family's 1533-position model. The record is from RNAcentral.
AACGAACGCUGGCGGCGUGGAUAAGACAUGCAAGUCGAACGGGAUAUCAUUUGUAGCAAUACAAGUGAUGUCCAGUGGCGUAAGGGUGCGUAACACGUGGGCAACCUGCCGAGAAGUGGGGGAUAGCUCGUCGAAAGGCGAAUUAAUACCGCAUAUGGCUAGGGAAGACAUCUUCCUCAAGCCAAAGCCGGGGCAACCUGGCGCUUCUUGAUGGGCCCGCGGCCAUCAGCUAGUUGGUGAGGUAACGGCUCACCAAGGCUAUGACGGGUAGCUGGCCUGAGAGGGCGACCGGCCACACUGGGACUGAGACACGGCCCAGACUCCUACGGGAGGCAGCAGUGGGGAAUAUUGCACAAUGGGCGAAAGCCUGAU